GGCGGCGUGCUUAACACAUGCAAGUCGAACGGAAAGGCCCCUUCGGGGGUACUCGAGUGGCGAACGGGUGAGUAACACGUGGGCAAUCUGCCCUGCACUUCGGGAUAAGCCUGGGAAACUGGGUCUAAUACCGGAUAGGACCUUUAGGCGCAUGUCUUUAGGUGGAAAGCUUUUGCGGUGUGGGAUGGGCCCGCGGCCUAUCAGCUUGUUGGUGGGGUGAUGGCCUACCAAGGCGACGACGGGUAGCCGGCCUGAGAGGGUGUCCGGCCACACUGGGACUGAGAUACGGCCCAGACUCCUACGGGAGGCAGCAGUGGGGAAUAUUGCACAAUGGGCGCAAGCCUGAUGCAGCGACGCCGCGUGGGGGAUGACGGCCUUCGGGUUGUAAACCUCUUUCACCAUCGACGAAGGUCCGGGUUUUCUCGGAUUGACGGUAGGUGGAGAAGAAGCACCGGCCAACUACGUGCCAGCAGCCGCGGUAAUACGUAGGGUGCGAGCGUUGUCCGGAAUUACUGGGCGUAAAGAGCUCGUAGGUGGUUUGUCGCGUUGUUCGUGAAAUCUCACGGCUUAACUGUGAGCGUGCGGGCGAUACGGGCAGACUAGAGUACUGCAGGGGAGACUGGAAUUCCUGGUGUAGCGGUGGAAUGCGCAGAUAUCAGGAGGAACACCGGUGGCGAAGGCGGGUCUCUGGGCAGUAACUGACGCUGAGGAGCGAAAGCGUGGGGAGCGAACAGGAUUAGAUACCCUGGUAGUCCACGCCGUAAACGGUGGGUACUAGGUGUGGGUUUCCUUCCUUGGGAUCCGUGCCGUAGCUAACGCAUUAAGUACCCCGCCUGGGGAGUACGGCCGCAAGGCUAAAACUCAAAGGAAUUGACGGGGGCCCGCACAAGCGGCGGAGCAUGUGGAUUAAUUCGAUGCAACGCGAAGAACCUUACCUGGGUUUGACAUGCACAGGACGCGUCUAGAGAUAGGCGUUCCCUUGUGGCCUGUGUGCAGGUGGUGCAUGGCUGUCGUCAGCUCGUGUCGUGAGAUGUUGGGUUAAGUCCCGCAACGAGCGCAACCCUUGUCUCAUGUUGCCAGCGGGUAAUGCCGGGGACUCGUGAGAGACUGCCGGGGUCAACUCGGAGGAAGGUGGGGAUGACGUCAAGUCAUCAUGCCCCUUAUGUCCAGGGCUUCACACAUGCUACAAUGGCCGGUACAAAGGGCUGCGAUGCCGCAAGGUUAAGCGAAUCCUUUUAAAGCCGGUCUCAGUUCGGAUUGGGGUCUGCAACUCGACCCCAUGAAGUCGGAGUCGCUAGUAAUCGCAGAUCAGCAACGCUGCGGUGAAUACGUUCCCGGGCCUUGUACACACCGCCCGUCACGUCAUGAAAGUCGGUAACACCCGAAGCCAGUGGCCUAACCCUUGGGAGGGAGCUGUCGAAGGUGGGAUCGGCGAUUGGGACGAAGUCGUAAC
This 1453-nucleotide ribosomal RNA is filed under the name Mycobacterium intracellulare. RNAcentral describes it as "bacterial SSU rRNA". It matches the Rfam family "Bacterial small subunit ribosomal RNA". The record is from RNAcentral. Lineage: Bacteria; Bacillati; Actinomycetota; Actinomycetes; Mycobacteriales; Mycobacteriaceae.